Molecule: ribosomal RNA, 506 nt
Filed under: uncultured bacterium
Lineage: Bacteria
Description: partial 16S ribosomal RNA
Rfam family: Bacterial small subunit ribosomal RNA
Source: RNAcentral
GAUGAACGCUAGCUACAGGCUUAACACAUGCAAGUCGAGGGGUAACGAGAGGAAAGCUUGCUUUCCUUGUCGACGACCGGCGCACGGGUGAGUAACGCGUAUCUAACCUGCCCCCAACUAGGGAAUAACCUUGCGAAAGUAAGACUAAUACCCUAUAAUUUCCUCAGAUGUCAUCUGACGAGGAAUAAAGAUUUAUCGGUUGUGGAUGGGGAUGCGUCUGAUUAGCUUGUUGGCGGGGUAACGGCCCACCAAGGCAACGAACAGUAGGGGGUAUGAGAAGAAGGUCCCCCACAUUGGAACUGAGACACGGGCCAAACUCCUACGGGAGGCAGCAGUGAGGAAUGUUGGUCAAUGGGCGGAAGCCUGAACCAGCCAAGUAGCGUGCAGGAUGACGGCCCUAUGGGUUGUAAACUGCUUUUAUACAGGAAUAAAGUUAGCCACGUGUGGUUAUUUGUAGGUACUGUAUGAAUAAGGACCGGCUAAUUCCGUGCCAGCAGCCGCAGUAA